RNAcentral lists this ribosomal RNA (680 nucleotides) under glacial ice bacterium ML-C4. Its description in RNAcentral is "bacterial SSU rRNA". It matches the Rfam family "Bacterial small subunit ribosomal RNA", at positions 793 to 1473 of the family's 1533-position model. RNAcentral also lists the same sequence under 1 other name. The record is from RNAcentral.
GUCCAUGCCGUAAACGUUGGGAACUAGAUGUGGGGACCAUUCCACGGUCUCCGUGUCGCAGCUAACGCAUUAAGUUCCCCGCCUGGGGAGUACGGCCGCAAGGCUAAAACUCAAAGGAAUUGACGGGGGCCCGCACAAGCGGCGGAGCAUGCGGAUUAAUUCGAUGCAACGCGAAGAACCUUACCAAGGCUUGACAUAUACCGGAAACGUCUGGAAACAGUCGCCCCGCAAGGUCGGUAUACAGGUGGUGCAUGGUUGUCGUCAGCUCGUGUCGUGAGAUGUUGGGUUAAGUCCCGCAACGAGCGCAACCCUCGUCCUAUGUUGCCAGCACGUAAUGGUGGGAACUCAUGGGAUACUGCCGGGGUCAACUCGGAGGAAGGUGGGGAUGACGUCAAAUCAUCAUGCCCCUUAUGUCUUGGGCUUCACGCAUGCUACAAUGGCCGGUACAAAGGGCUGCAAUACCGUAAGGUGGAGCGAAUCCCAAAAAGCCGGUCUCAGUUCGGAUUGAGGUCUGCAACUCGACCUCAUGAAGUCGGAGUCGCUAGUAAUCGCAGAUCAGCAACGCUGCGGUGAAUACGUUCCCGGGCCUUGUACACACCGCCCGUCAAGUCAUGAAAGUCGGUAACACCCGAAGCCAGUGGCCCAACCGCAAGGAGGGAGCUGUCGAAGGUGGAUCGGUG